CUGACAUUUCAUAGCUCCUCUGUCGCCUCAGAGAGAGAGAUAUCACCGUGUUGAAAUGGUUGAUUUGUACAGCGACUUCGUUGGAGUGUGACCCCAUUUCUCUGUGCCUACAGGUCAUCUGAUCAACAGCUGUCUCUCAGGGGUUUUGUUGGCCCGACUCACUCUUCAUCUGUUUGUGUGGUUCUGAGCCUGUGAGCAUUUCAGUAGGCUUACGUGAAGUGGGGUGGAGAGAGGGUGAAGACAUGCAGCAGAGGUCUCUGGGUGGGGACCUAGUAUGCCUGUGUCGAUGACUGAGGCGUCCGUAUAUGGGUCUCGUGCUGUACCGCUACGCCAUGCGCCACUUCCAUAUCCUUUGCAGCUUCAGACCAUGAUAAUGAUUUUGGCCGCUGGCACUCUUUAACAGCAAGCAUUUGAACUGAUUUCCAAGUGAGAGCCUAAUGUAAAAGCCUCUUGAAUUUUAUUUGGACCACAUUCAUAAUCUCAAUUGGUGGCUGCUCUGUUUCCCAAAUGACAAAAACAAAUCUUGUGCCAGCGUCUCUUAAAUGGCUGCUUGCCAGAUUGGUCCCGCUCUGUGUGGGAUUAACAGUGCAGAUGAUGUCAACUUUGGAAGUAGAUCCAGCUGGAAUGCACUGCUGUACACAGAAGAGUGUACUGAUGGAAAUUCUCUCCACUAUAUUCCUGCCAAUAUUUUCUUCCCUUUUUAAUUGAUAGCAGAAAGUAAUUUUUUGGUGGUAGGCUUUAGCUGUCAUUUGAUCCUGACACUGCCUGUAUUUUUUGCCACAUAUGACUGUCAUUCCUCUUCACUGUCAUUGCGUAAUUUGUUGGAAAAUUAGCCCAAGGAGCUCAGCUGUCAGUCUGAAUAAACACUUUCCACUAGCCUGA
Molecule: long non-coding RNA, 882 nt
Organism: Girardinichthys multiradiatus
Lineage: Eukaryota; Metazoa; Chordata; Actinopteri; Cyprinodontiformes; Goodeidae
Exons: 4
Source: RefSeq, a predicted model, not a curated record